UACGGAGAGCGCGAGCGUUACCCGGAAUUACUGGGCGUAGAGGGCGUGUAGGUGGCCGAGAGACCCACGUGUGAAAAGCUUCCGCUUACCGGGAGCCCUGCGCGUGGAAUUGCUCGGCUCGAGGGUGCUAGAGGUGAGCGGAAUUGCUGGAGUAGCGGUGAAAUGCGUUGAUAUCAGCAGGAACGCCGAAGGCGAAGGCAGCUCACUGGGGCACUCCUGACACUGAGGCGCGAAAGCCAGGGUAGCAAACGGG
This 253-nucleotide unclassified non-coding RNA is filed under the name uncultured Planctomycetota bacterium. RNAcentral describes it as "uncultured planctomycete contains 16S-23S intergenic spacer region". It matches the Rfam family "Bacterial small subunit ribosomal RNA", at positions 524 to 776 of the family's 1533-position model. The record is from RNAcentral. Lineage: Bacteria; Pseudomonadati; Planctomycetota.